AUGAAAACGUCGCCUCGCGGGCACUUUAAGGACAAAUCUCCAUUGCAGCAGAGGAGUCUGAACACUGAUCAGGACAGGAGUAUUAGACGUGUCUGGCUCAGGAUGCAGUUACAAACAAAGCUGAUUCAACAAGGCAUGGUGAGUUCUUCUUAAAUGUCCAUGUACGCAGAUCACCUGGGGAUUUCGUUAAGCUGCAGCUUCUGGCUCAGGAGCAUCCGGAGUAUGAUCUCAUGUGUGCAUUUCUGAUGAUGCUGGCCUACAGAUCACACUUUCAGUGGUGAGGGCUUUAACAAUAAAGAAAAUGUUAGCUCGUUUAAUUUGAAGACUCAGGAAAAGUAUUGACUUCAAAUAAGGCUUGUAACAGUUGUUCAAUAAUGUCAUGAAAGUGCUGUUUUUUUUAACUUCUUCCUGUGUUCUGUAAAGUUGGCUUCACCUUUGGGCUGGCUUUCCUCACGGGACCAAGAUGACUGCCUGCAGUCCCUGAGGCUUUGGUUCAUACUUCCUUGGGUGUGAACAGCAGAAAAUUUGUCUCCAGUAUUACCAACAAAAUUGCUAAGAUUCAUUUUGAUUGUACAGAUGAAAUAAAUUGAUUUGUUUAACUACAAGUGGAGCAAAGCUGGAGUGAAAUUUCUGGAGCCUAUAGAAAUCAGGGCUAUGAGAAGGGGAGGGUUUGCUGGGGAGGAAACCAAGAAAUAUCCUCUGUAGAGUCAAAUAAGAUAAAAGUUUUGAUCAAAAUUAACAAACGUAACACACACAAAGAGAGAGAGAGAGAAGGGAGGGAGAGAAAACAUAGUUUGCCUAUUUCUUCAUCUGAUUUGGGAAGCUUCUGAGUCAGGAAAUGUUAGUUUUUGUUUAUAUCAAAUACGUUUUGGAAAUCAUGACACCCUUUUAGGGAUCUCUUUGGCAUAUUUUAUUUAUUAGUUUAAAUAAGAAUGUGGCUUUGUGUCAACAAGAUUCACUAACAAGGGUUGGAUUGAAUAAUAUCUCUAUAAAAAGAUCGGAAAAUCCAGAGCAGGAGGAAACUUUUAAAGGUUUUGAGGUCUGUUUUUAUCUUAUAAUUACAAAUUUAACUUUGUUGUCCAGAUAGAAUUGGAGGGAGAUAAAGGAAGUGUAGAAUUCAAAUAAUUGUAGCAAAUGAGAAUAUAAAGACAGAGUAUGCAGUCAAACUGGGCAUGAGGCUACUCUUCCCAGUACAGAAGCAAUGGUUUGUUAACUAGGAUAAACACAAAUUAAAGUUAGGAGAGUUACUGCAGUUAAUAGUGGUGAACUUCUUGCUAAUCUUGCAGUAAGGGGAAUCCAAUUUUACAUUCAUGCCUUAAGAGAGGCUCAGAGGAAAAGAAUAAUAUUAUAUCUUAGCACAAUUAUACUAGAUACCCAGACGGGUGAAGCUAUAUGUUUCUCACCUUCAUCUUGCUUCUGGAACCUGACAAGGUGGAAUAGAAGCCUGCAAACCUGAGUAGUGCUGCUCUGGGAAACAUUCUGGUCAUACGAUAUGAUGAACUGGACUAGUGGUUAAUGAGUGAGUAGAGCUCCAGUAAUAAGUCAAUAUCUCUGACUCUUAUUUUUCAGGUUUUAUCUACUACAAAGGAUAUCAUUUGGGAAGGAAUUUCUGGGAACUGCUCCCAAGAGAGCCAUUGGACCAUGUGGUAAACAACUCCUAGCUGAUAGAUUAUUGGGUAAAGAUAAACCUGGAUGAUCCCGUGCUUAGAAAGGUUCCUGAUUAUAAUGAAUAAGACGUAGCGGUGGCAUGCCCAGUAUACCAUAGUGUGCUAGGCACAAAUAUACAUCACCCUUGUUUUUGUGGAUGGCAAACUAUUAAACAGAAUAGGAAAGAACGGUGGAUUCCUGAUGGGAGUAGAACAGUAGGUACCACGUAGUGAUUCUGACUUCCUCUGGGAAUAGCCCCACCCUGAGGUGAAGAAGGC
RNAcentral lists this long non-coding RNA (1925 nucleotides) under Macaca mulatta (Rhesus monkey). Its description in RNAcentral is "lncRNA (ENSMMUG00000042767.2)". Lineage: Eukaryota; Metazoa; Chordata; Mammalia; Primates; Cercopithecidae. The record is from RNAcentral.